GCCCUCGCGGUGCGACGGACGCACAACGCGCUUCGAACGCGAAGACUAUCGGUUCGAAUCCGAUCGAGGGUUC
Molecule: transfer RNA, 73 nt
Filed under: Thermoflexales bacterium
Lineage: Bacteria; Bacillati; Chloroflexota; Thermoflexia; Thermoflexales
Description: tRNA-Arg
Rfam family: tRNA
About the family: Transfer RNA (tRNA) molecules are approximately 80 nucleotides in length. Their secondary structure includes four short double-helical elements and three loops (D, anti-codon, and T loops). Further hydrogen bonds mediate the characteristic L-shaped molecular structure. tRNAs have two regions of fundamental functional importance: the anti-codon, which is responsible for specific mRNA codon recognition, and the 3' end, to which the tRNAs corresponding amino acid is attached (by aminoacyl-tRNA synthetases). tRNAs cope with the degeneracy of the genetic code in two manners: having more than one tRNA (with a specific anti-codon) for a particular amino acid; and 'wobble' base-pairing, i.e. permitting non-standard base-pairing at the 3rd anti-codon position.
Source: RNAcentral